This 804-nucleotide unclassified non-coding RNA is filed under the name Hevea brasiliensis (rubber tree). The record is from RNAcentral. Lineage: Eukaryota; Viridiplantae; Streptophyta; Magnoliopsida; Malpighiales; Euphorbiaceae.
AAGAAUUUAGGAAGGAAGAAGAAGUAGGGAAAGAGAAAAUAGAAUAAAAAAACAGAGAGAAUUGUUAUUUCUUGGGAAAACAGCAAAAUGCCUUUACAAUGAGCUACAGCUGAGUUUAUAACUACUUGGCAGCUACUUGACAACCAUUUCCCCGCCAACUACAACUAAUACACUCAACUAUUUAACAACCAUUUCUCCUGCCAAUUACAACUAAUACAACUAAUCCUUAUUCUGCCUCGACCUUCUCCUCUGGUAUGUAACACCCCCUUAACAAAUUAAAGUCUCAUCAUUAGUAAAACCAACAGCCCUAAAUUCAUAUUAAUUCAAAUCAACAAUUGAAAAUGCAUUUAUUCUACUAACCACAUAUCCACUGAAAAUUCGGCAAAGUCUCCACUGCAACAAGACACAACCUGUAUAAAAUUGACAUCCUUGCUUGCACAAAUAUUUCAUACAAUUUUCUUCCCCAUAUUAAUAUCAACCGGAGCAUCUAAUUCAGGUUCCACAAAGUUGGUCCUAGGUUUCAGCUUAAAAGUAAUUUACUAGGAGAAAGAUCACAAGUUGAUUUAUGGUUUUAUAAGUAGAUUAAUUCAAUUGUUGACUUAAAAAAAAUAUCUAAUUAAUCAACAUGUAGUACCGCAUAAAUAAUUAUUAAGUUUACUUUUUUAUUUGCAAAUUUAAUUAAUAGGGAUUUGAAUGGCCUAAUUUAAGAUAGACCAUAGAUUAUUGCCUUGAAAAUCUAAUUAACUAAGGGGUGGCCCCUUAACCACUUAGAAUCUCAUCAUUAACAAUAAUCAAAGACCAAUU